This 82-nucleotide transfer RNA is filed under the name Apaloderma vittatum (bar-tailed trogon). It matches the Rfam family "tRNA". From Rfam's summary of the family: Transfer RNA (tRNA) molecules are approximately 80 nucleotides in length. Their secondary structure includes four short double-helical elements and three loops (D, anti-codon, and T loops). Lineage: Eukaryota; Metazoa; Chordata; Aves; Trogoniformes; Trogonidae. The record is from Rfam by way of RNAcentral.
GGCCAGUUAGCUCAGUGGUUUGAGCGCAGUGCUGACAACAAUGACAGCACCAGGGUCGUGGGUUCGAUUCCCGCACGGUCCC